This 324-nucleotide ribosomal RNA is filed under the name uncultured eukaryote. RNAcentral describes it as "partial 18S ribosomal RNA". It matches the Rfam family "Eukaryotic small subunit ribosomal RNA", at positions 1470 to 1796 of the family's 1831-position model. The record is from RNAcentral.
CCCUUAGAUGUUCUGGGCCGCACGCGCGCUACACUGAUGCAUUCAACGAGUUUCUUCCUGGUCCGAGAGGAAUGGGUAACCUUUUGAAAGUGCAUCGUGAUAGGGAUAGACUAUUGCAAUUCUUGGUCUUCAACGAGGAAUUCCUAGUAGACGUAGUUCAUCAGACUGCAUCGAUUACGUCCCUGCCCUUUGUACACACCGCCCGUCGCUCCUACCGAUUGAAUGCUCAGGUGAGCCAUUCGGACUUUCAUCAUGCUGGUUUCCAGUUUUGAUGAAGGAAAGUCUUGCGAACCUUAUCAUUUAGAGGAAGGAGAAGUCGUAACA